Molecule: ribosomal RNA, 492 nt
Filed under: uncultured bacterium
Lineage: Bacteria
Description: partial 16S ribosomal RNA
Rfam family: Bacterial small subunit ribosomal RNA
Source: RNAcentral
AGUGAACGCUGGCGGUAGGCCUAACACACGCAAGUCGAACGGCAGCACAGUAAGAGCUUGCUCUUACGGGUGGCGAGUGGCGGACGGGUGAGGAAUACAUCGGAAUCUACUUUUUCGUGGGGGAUAACGUAGGGAAACUUACGCCAAUACCGCAUACGACCUACGGGUGAAAGCAGGGGAUCUUCGGACCUUGCGCGAUUGAAUGAGCCGAUGUCGGAUUAGCUAGUUGGCGGGGUAAAGGCCCACCAAGGCGACGAUCCGUAGCUGGUCUGAGAGGAUGAUCAGCCACACUGGAACUGAGACACGGUCCAGACUCCUACGGGAGGCAGCAGUGGGGAAUAUUGGACAAUGGGCGCAAGCCUGAUCCAGCCAUACCGCGUGGGUGAAGAAGGCCUUCGGGUUGUAAAGCCCUUUUGUUGGGAAAGAAAAGCAGCAGGUUAAUACCCCGCUGUUCUGACGGUACCCAAAGAAUAAGCACCGGCUAACUUCGUG